UGCCAGCAGCCGCGGUAAUACAGAGGGUGCAAGCGUUAAUCGGAAUUACUGGGCGUAAAGCGUGCGUAGGCGGAUGCUUAAGUCAGAUGUGAAAGCCCUGGGCUCAACCUAGGAAUUGCACCUGAUACUGGGCGUCUAGAGUAUGGUAGAGGAUGGCGGAAUUUCCGGUGUAGCGGUGAAAUGCGUAGAUAUCGGAAGGAACACCAGUGGCGAAGGCGGCCGUCUGGGCCAAUACUGACGCUGAGGCACGAAAGCGUGGGGAGCGAACAGGAUUAGAUA
RNAcentral lists this ribosomal RNA (279 nucleotides) under uncultured bacterium. Its description in RNAcentral is "partial 16S ribosomal RNA". It matches the Rfam family "Bacterial small subunit ribosomal RNA", at positions 506 to 784 of the family's 1533-position model. The record is from RNAcentral.